This 216-nucleotide ribosomal RNA is filed under the name Glomeromycotina sp. RNAcentral describes it as "partial small subunit ribosomal RNA". The stretch from base 40 to 216 matches the Rfam family "Eukaryotic small subunit ribosomal RNA", at positions 686 to 864 of the family's 1831-position model. The record is from RNAcentral. Lineage: Eukaryota; Fungi; Glomeromycota.
GGGUCAGUAGGUUGGUCGUGCCAACGGUACGUACUGGUCUAACUGAUUCCUCCUUCCUGAAGAACCGUAAUGCCAUUAAUUUGGUGUUGCGGGGAAACAGGACUGUUACUUUGAAAAAAUUAGAGUGUUUAAAGCAAGCUAACGCUUGAAUACAUUAGCAUGGAAUAAUGAAAUAGGACGAUCGAUCCUAUUUUGUUGGUUUCUAGGAUUGACGUA